Molecule: small nuclear RNA, 200 nt
Organism: Cyprinus carpio (common carp)
Lineage: Eukaryota; Metazoa; Chordata; Actinopteri; Cypriniformes; Cyprinidae
Gene: U2
Rfam family: U2 spliceosomal RNA
About the family: U2 is a small nuclear RNA (snRNA) component of the spliceosome (involved in pre-mRNA splicing).
Source: Ensembl
CUAAUUUUUUGAGAAGGACCUGUAUAUGGAUUUGAUAAAAAAAAAAAUCUGUUCUUAUCAGUUUAAUAUCUGAUAUGUCCCCUAUCUGGGGACUACAUAUUAAAUUGAUUUUUGGAUCACGGAGCUGGAGCCGGGGCUUGCUCUGUUCACUCCACGCAUCGGCCUGGUAUUGCAGUGUCUCCAGGAACAGUGUGCAUCCC